AGAGAGGCUGCCCACAGGAGAGAGCUGGAGAUAAGAGAGAGAGAGAGGGAAGAGAGGGAAAAAGAGAGAAAGUAUGAACUGGAAUUAGUGCAGGCUAAGCAGAAUAACACAGCCAACCCUAACAACCCUUCACCAGUUGUUGUUCCAUAUCCCAGGAAAUUUCCCACCUACAAGGCAGGUGAUAACACUGAGGCCUUCCUAGACAGAAGUAACAGAGGUGAGGAUGAGCUAAUGGUCACUAAUCAUUAUGAAUAUGUCAUUAAUAUGUACAAAUGUGCCAUCCUAAAGAGUAAGUGUACCCUAACAUUUUUGUGGGCGAGGAAGUUAAGUUUGGACAUGGAAGGAGGGGACCUAGGGCUCAGGCCCUAUAAAAGGGGCAAACUACCAUGUUGGGUAGGUUCAGCAUAUUCAUUGUUAGUUUGUUUCAAGCAACUGAAUAAAAAGAAAGGCAAGUUGGAAGGGGCAAAUAAAAAAUAUUAAGGGAGUACUUUUUAAAUCAAGUUUAAGUCCCAAAAGUUUUGUGGAAAUUGUUUUCUAUUUUCUUCUAAAGAAGUAGGUAUUCACCCACGAAAGCUCAUGCUCCAAAACGUCUGUUAGUCUAUAAGGUGCCACAGGAUUCUUUGCUGCUUCUAAAAAUAUUGAUUUAUCUGAUUCUGUUUUUCAUUAAUACUAAAAUUAUUACUGGAGUGUUAAGUUCUUCACCUCUCACUCAAAACUUCAGGAACUUGGAACAUCAGACUCUUGACAUGUCAGAGGCAAGACUGAUCUUUUUUCUUUUAUCACCAGGUGAUAAGGUCAGUCCCAGGAACAUAACUAUGAAGCAAUAAUGGAUUACAAUUAUAUGAAUUCUUGGAAGAGACUAAUAAUACUCCACAAUUUUUUAAAAUCUAUGGGACUAAAGCCUACAAAGCCCUAUAUUUUCUUGCUUGUGUCAUAUGCAGUGGAAAUGACAGGAUACAACAGUAAUGGGCAGUGAAUAUCAAAGGCCAGGGAAGGCUAAGCCUUCCCUGACCCAGGCUGUGGCCCCACCCAUGUCCUGCCCCAAGGCCCUACCCUCCCUCCCCCUCUACUCUGAAGCCGGCGGGGGCUCACUCAGCUCCAAUCGCAGCCUGGAGCUCAGGCCUGUUGGUGGCCCAGGGCAGACUGGGGCUUGCCCGGCAGUGGGGCCAGCAGCUUGGCCCAGCCAGCGCUGUGGGAGUUGGUGGCUCAGCCUAUCGCUACUGGGGCCAGCCGGCACAGCUGGGCUGUGGCUUCUCUUACCACUUGCUGGGGAGGGAGUGCUCGGGGCUCCAGUGGGUGGAGGUGGGGCCUCAGGUGGAAGAGGAAAGGCCAGCGGACUAGCAUCCCUGAAGAAAGGCGGAGGUGUCACCCACGGCCUAUGGCAACAGUAGCUCUAGCAAGGAGUGACAAUAGUCAAGGAGAGGUCCUCCUCUAACCAU
This is a long non-coding RNA of Gopherus evgoodei (Goodes thornscrub tortoise), 1439 nucleotides long. RefSeq lists it as uncharacterized. NCBI's taxonomy places the organism in Eukaryota, Metazoa, Chordata, Testudines, Testudinidae. The transcript is spliced from 2 exons. The record is from RefSeq and is a predicted model, not a curated record.